UACGAAGGGGGCUAGCGUUGCUCGGAAUCACUGGGCGUAAAGCGCGUGUAGGCGGAUCGGCAAGUCUGCUGUGAAAGCUCCUGGCUUAACCGGGAGUGGUCGGUGGAAACUGCCAGUCUGGAGGACGGUAGAGGUAGGUAGAAUUCCCGGUGUAGUGGUGAAAUGCGUAGAGAUCGGGAGGAAUACCUGUGGCGAAGGCGGCCUACUGGGCCGGACCUGACGCUGAGACGCGAAGGCGUGGGGAGCGAACGGG
Molecule: ribosomal RNA, 253 nt
Filed under: uncultured bacterium
Lineage: Bacteria
Description: partial 16S ribosomal RNA
Rfam family: Bacterial small subunit ribosomal RNA
Source: RNAcentral